AGAUUGAACGCUGGCGGCAUGCCUUACACAUGCAAGUCGAACGGCAGCACGGGAGCAAUCCUGGUGGCGAGUGGCGAACGGGUGAGUAAUACAUCGGAACGUGCCCAGUUGUGGGGGAUAGCCCGGCGAAAGCCGGAUUAAUACCGCAUACGACCUAUGGGUGAAAGCGGGGGAUCGCAAGACCUCGCGCAAUUGGAGCGGCCGAUGUCGGAUUAGCUUGUUGGUGGGGUAAAAGCUCACCAAGGCUACGAUCCGUAGCUGGUCUGAGAGGACGACCAGCCACACUGGGACUGAGACACGGCCCAGACUCCUACGGGAGGCAGCAGUGGGGAAUUUUGGACAAUGGGCGCAAGCCUGAUCCAGCCAUGCCGCGUGCGGGAAGAGGGCCUUCGGUGUAAACCGUCUUUUGUCAGGGAAGAACGGUUCGAGCUUAAUACUUUGAACUAAUGACGUACUGAAGAAUAAGCACGCUAAC
This 475-nucleotide ribosomal RNA is filed under the name uncultured soil bacterium. Its description in RNAcentral is "bacterial SSU rRNA". It matches the Rfam family "Bacterial small subunit ribosomal RNA", at positions 26 to 501 of the family's 1533-position model. The record is from RNAcentral.